This 1270-nucleotide ribosomal RNA is filed under the name Rathayibacter iranicus. RNAcentral's name for it is "16S ribosomal RNA". It matches the Rfam family "Bacterial small subunit ribosomal RNA", at positions 104 to 1384 of the family's 1533-position model. RNAcentral also lists the same sequence under 1 other name. Lineage: Bacteria; Bacillati; Actinomycetota; Actinomycetes; Micrococcales; Microbacteriaceae. The record is from RNAcentral.
GGGUGAGUAACACGUGAGUAACCUGCCCUUGACUCUGGGAUAAGCGCUGGAAACGGCGUCUAAUACCGGAUACGACCUGCCCCGGCAUCGGGUGUGGGUGGAAAGUUUUUCGGUCAAGGAUGGACUCGCGGCCUAUCAGCUUGUUGGUGAGGUAAUGGCUUACCAAGGCGACGACGGGUAGCCGGCCUGAGAGGGUGACCGGCCACACUGGGACUGAGACACGGCCCAGACUCCUACGGGAGGCAGCAGUGGGGAAUAUUGCACAAUGGGCGAAAGCCUGAUGCAGCAACGCCGCGUGGGGGAUGACGGCCUUCGGGUUGUAAACCUCUUUUAGUAGGGAAGAAGGGCUUCGGCUUGACGGUACCUGCAGAAAAAAGCACCGGCUAACUACGUGCCAGCAGCCGCGGUAAUACGUAGGGUGCAAGCGUUGUCCGGAAUUAUUGGGCGUAAAGAGCUCGUAGGCGGUUUGUCGCGUCUGCUGUGAAAACCCGAGGCUCAACCUCGGGCCUGCAGUGGGUACGGGCAGACUAGAGUGCGGUAGGGGAGAAUGGAAUUCCUGGUGUAGCGGUGGAAUGCGCAGAUAUCAGGAGGAACACCGAUGGCGAAGGCAGUUCUCUGGGCCGUUACUGACGCUGAGGAGCGAAAGCGUGGGGAGCGAACAGGAUUAGAUACCCUGGUAGUCCACGCCGUAAACGUUGGGAACUAGAUGUGGGGGCCUUUCCACGGUCUCCGUGUCGCAGCUAACGCAUUAAGUUCCCCGCCUGGGGAGUACGGCCGCAAGGCUAAAACUCAAAGGAAUUGACGGGGGCCCGCACAAGCGGCGGAGCAUGCGGAUUAAUUCGAUGCAACGCGAAGAACCUUACCAAGGCUUGACAUAUACCGGAAACUUCCAGAGAUGGUUGCCCCGCAAGGUCGGUAUACAGGUGGUGCAUGGUUGUCGUCAGCUCGUGUCGUGAGAUGUUGGGUUAAGUCCCGCAACGAGCGCAACCCUCGUUCUAUGUUGCCAGCACGUGAUGGUGGGAACUCAUAGGAGACUGCCGGGGUCAACUCGGAGGAAGGUGGGGAUGACGUCAAAUCAUCAUGCCCCUUAUGUCUUGGGCUUCACGCAUGCUACAAUGGCCGGUACAAAGGGCUGCGAUACCGUAAGGUGGAGCGAAUCCCAAAAAGCCGGUCUCAGUUCGGAUUGAGGUCUGCAACUCGACCUCAUGAAGUCGGAGUCGCUAGUAAUCGCAGAUCAGCAACGCUGCGGUGAAUACGUCCCGGGCCUUGU